GACGAACGCUGGCGGCGUGCUUAACACAUGCAAGUCGAACGGAAAGGCCUUUUCGGAGGUACUCGAGUGGCGAACGGGUGAGUAACACGUGGGUGAUCUGCCCUGCACUCUGGGAUAAGCCUGGGAAACUGGGUCUAAUACCGGAUAGGACCGCACUUUAGUGUGUGUGGUGGAAAGUUUUUUCGGUGUAGGAUGAGCCCGCGGCCUAUCAGCUUGUUGGUGGGGUAAUGGCCUACCAAGGCGGCGACGGGUAGCCGGACUGAGAGGUUGGUCGGCCACAUGGGGACUGAGUGCGGGCCCGGAUUCUUCGGGGGGGAAGCGGGGGGGAAUUUUGCACAAGGGGGGAAAGCCUGAGGAAGCGAGGCCGCGUGGGGGAUGACGGCCUUCGGGUUGUAAACUCCUUUCGCCAGGGACGAAGCGUUUUGUGACGGUACCUGGAGAAGAAGCACCGGCUAACUACGUG
Molecule: ribosomal RNA, 463 nt
Filed under: uncultured bacterium
Lineage: Bacteria
Description: partial 16S ribosomal RNA
Rfam family: Bacterial small subunit ribosomal RNA
Source: RNAcentral